ACCACGCUGGCGAUGCUAACGGACUAUAAGCUAAUAGUGGACUCGGGAAAUCAAAAUAAAACUAGUGAUAGCAAGGCGGUCUGAUUGUUUUUGCUGUAGAAUACGAUAGAGGAUAUAUUCUUGUCAGGGUUUGGCAAGGGAGGACCCAACUGCAGAAUUAACAGGGAGAACAGUUUAUUAACAAGAGAGAGAACACAAACAGAUGAGGCAGGAAGACAGUCCACACAAUAGGGCAGGGCACACGACAGGAGAACAGUUUAUUAACAAGAGAGAGAACACAAACAGAUGAGGCAGGAAGACAGUCCACACAAUAGGGCAGGGCACACGACAGGAGAACAGGCUGGUCGGAAGGAGGUAGUUCCAGACUCUGUGGCAAAGGAGACCUGGUAGCAACUCAAGGAACCACAGGCUUGACUCUGUUGAUGGGAACUCUUGAAGCACCAGAAUGUCUGUCAGGUCAGAAGAACCAGCGACCAGGGAGGACUCAGGAAACAGGGCAGGAACCAACACAACUGACAUUCAAAGACAAUACAACAGGAGAGACAAGAGCGACAGAUCAAAAGUAAACUUGCAAACCAAUGCCUAGGGUUAAAAUAAAAACUAAACCACAAAGACCGGAACUAGACGGGAACAAACAAAAACAAGAGUGAACUAGACAAGAUGCAAUAUUCUGACGAAAGAGUUCUAACGAGACUAAAUAUGCAAACAAGAGACUGUACACAAGGCACACACAAAACGAACCAGCCAAGACAAGAGGGAAAUGAGCCCAAUAUAAAGGGAGCAGAGCACACAAGGAACAGGUGAACCUAAUUGGAAAGACAAGGACUAAACAAGGGGGCGUGGUGAUUGAAAACGAGGAGGCAGGACAAGAGGAGCACACGGCCAACAUAAACAAAGACACAACCAUGUGCUCAGGCACAAUAUAAACAGAGACACAUUAAACAAAGACAGGACAGACAAGACUGUCAGGGCAGGAUCCUGACAUAUUCUGACAUUAUAGAAACGAAAAUGAUUGUUUUAAAAUUACAAAAUAGACGAUAAAGAAUUAACGUGACGGAGCUCAAACUCGAGACACACGGC
This is a long non-coding RNA of Cyprinus carpio carpio, 1080 nucleotides long. NCBI's taxonomy places the organism in Eukaryota, Metazoa, Chordata, Actinopteri, Cypriniformes, Cyprinidae. The record is from Ensembl.